Non-coding RNA from Onthophagus taurus, 453 nucleotides. Lineage: Eukaryota; Metazoa; Arthropoda; Insecta; Coleoptera; Scarabaeidae. The record is from RefSeq and is a predicted model, not a curated record.
CUAUUAAGGUACCAGGAAGAAAUAAAUUACUAAUAACAAUUUGUUAUCAAGGGAGGAUGCAUACACAAAGACGAUUAAAACAAAAAUGUUUGUGAUUCACGAACCGAGGUGAUAAAUAAGGUGCAAAAAAAUAAAAAAUUUAAUUGUAUUCCGCCGAUUCAAGAAAUAACUCGAAAAAGAAGCUUUAAUAAUGAAGUAUGAAGCGGAAAUAAUUUCGUUCGCCAUGAUAUUGGCACUCCUCUUGAUUGUUGUACUUUUAAUUCAUAUUUUUAUUAUGAAAGGAAACUCUUUGAAGGUGUUAACGAAAUAUUCUGGAAUUUUAGUCAAAGCUCCUCAACAAUGGGUUGUGGAAAGAAGUAUUAAUGGUGAUGCGUUUGGUUCUAAUGGAGUUUAUACUAUCUAAACUGUGAAAUUAUAAAAAAAGAUUUAAAUUAAUAAAUUUUAAUACUUUAA